GUCUUGACUGUUUACUAGCAAGUGUUCUUAGAGCUUUCCUUUUUUUUUCCCUUCCUUCUCUUCCUUUUAGGGGAAAUAGUUGCUUUAGAACAAGAAGUGAAGCGGAGGAAGCUCUUUAGUAUUUGGUAAUGCAAUGGCUGGAAGAUCACUAACUAUCAGAUUAACCAGGUGGACACACUGGGUAUCAGCAAUUAUUCUGCUGCUAUGGAGUCAUCAGAUCAGUGGGCAAGGACAAGGACCUUUGCUGGAGCCACUGCCUGUCACAGUGAUGAGCAGCAAGAUUUUCCCUCUGUCCCAGGUAGUACUGGGAUCUCACAGCCAUCUGGUGAAGCAAUGUGCCUUGAGCAUGUGUUUUCAGGCUGAUUCCUUUGCUUGUGCUGUGCACCACAUGAAUGUUCAGAUUAGCUGCCUUGCAGAAUUUGACAUGUCAGUAAGAAGCAGGGUACCUGAGGAGAAGCUUCGUCUCUUUUCUCUCUAAAAGCAUUUUCUUUCUGAGGUCUAUUAGCAUCAUAAUGCUGUUCUGACUCAUUUCCAUUGCAUCGGGUAUAAAGCAUAUUGCUUUGUUUACUACCGUGCAAGGGAUUAUGCAUCUUUCCUAUGUAAUAGUAGUAGUCCAUUCUAAGACUUGGAGUUUCCUAUUUGACAUCUGUCAAUGAAAUUCAUAUUUGUAUUCAUAUGUGUUUUGGUAAUAAAGUCUCGU
RNA transcript from Gallus gallus (chicken), 700 nucleotides. RefSeq lists it as uncharacterized. The record is from RefSeq and is a predicted model, not a curated record. NCBI's taxonomy places the organism in Eukaryota, Metazoa, Chordata, Aves, Galliformes, Phasianidae. The transcript has 5 exons.